GCCGGUCUGAAUUUAUAGGACCGGCAGCGCAAUACGCGGCGAAGUGAAACAUCUCAGUAACCGCAGGAAAAGAACGAGAAUCGAUUCCGUCAGUAGUGGCGAGCGAACGCGGAACAGCCCAAACCGUCGGGAUUUAUCCCGGCGGGGUUAUAGGGCCACAACGUGAAAAGCGAGGGUUAGACGAACACUCUGGAAAGUGUGACCAUAGCGGGUGAUAGUCCCGUAGUUUAAAACCUGAGCAGAUCUAGUGGUACCCUGAGUAGCACCGUACACGUGAAAUUCGGUGUGAAUUCGUGCCGACCACGGCAUAAGGCUAAAUACUCGAUGAAGACCGACAGUGAACUAGUACCGCGAGGGAAAGGUGAAAAGCACCCCUGUUAGGGGAGUGAAAUAGUAACUGAAAUCAAUUGCUAACAAGUCAGUGGGAGCCGGCUUGUCCGGUGACCGCCUGCCUUUUGUAUAAUGAGUCUGCGAGUUAUUGCCCGUAGCAAGCCUAAGCCGGUUACCGGUGGAGGCGUAGCGAAAGCGAGUCCAAAUAGGGCGCUAAGUUGCUGGCAAUAGACCCGAAGCGGAGGUGAUCUAACUAUGGCCAGGAUGAAACUCCGGUAAAACGGAGUGAAGGUCCGAACUCGUCAACCUUGAGAAGUUGUGAGAUGAGCUGUGGUUAGGAGCGAAAGACUAAUCAAACCCUGUGAUAGCUGGUUCUUUCCGAAAUAUAUUUGGGUAUAGCCUCGGAUGCUGAUUUGCGGAGGUAGAGCACUAAAUAAGCUAGGGCCCCUACCGGGGUACUGAACUUAAUUAAACUCCGAAUACCGCGAAGUGAAGUCCGGCAGUCAGACUGUGGGGGAUAACCUUCAUAGUCGAGAGGAGAAUAAUCCAGACCAUCAGUUAAGGUCCCAAAAUAUGGCUCAGUGAAAAAGGAUGUGAUUUUGCUUAGACAAUGGGGAUGUUGGCUUAGAGGCAGCCAUCAUUUAAACAGUGCGUAACAGCUGACCCAUCGAGCGAAAUUGCGCCGAAAAUGAUCGGGACUUAAGCCAUAUACCGAAGCUAUGGGUGCACCGCAAGGUGCGCAGUAGGAAAGCGUCCCAAGUGCAGCGAAGUGGAAGGGGUAACCGACCAUGGAGCGCUUGGGAGUGAGAAUGCAGACAUAAGUAACGAUAAAGCCGGUUGAAAUCCGGCUCGCCGAAAUCCCAAGGAUUCCUGGGGAAGGUUCGUCCGCCCAGGGUUAGUCGGGUGCUAAGACGAGGCCGUAAGGAAUAGUCGAUGCCAAGCAGGUUUAAUAUUCCUGCACCACUAAACGUAUGUUCGACCUAUGGAGUGACGGAGAAAGUUAAUGCAGCAACGUGUUGAAUCGUUGUCUAAGCUCUCAGGCUGUUCGGGGAUAAAAGACCGGAUAAAGCUGAAAAGCGAAUGGACCCCAAAGCCACGGCUGAGGGGGAUUGCCCGAUACUACGCUUCCAAGAAAAACUUCGUAGUUAGUAUGUUUGGCGCCCGUACCGUAAACCGACACAGGUGGGAAAGAUGAGUAUUCUAAGGCGCGCGAGUUAAAUCUCUCUAAGGAACUCGGCAAAUUAACCCCGUAUCUUCGGUAUAAGGGGUGCCCCGCAAGGGGCCGCAGUUAAUUGCGUCAACCGACUGUUUAGCAAAAACACAGCACUCUGCUAAGUCGCAAGACGACGUAUAGGGUGUGACACGUGACCAAUGCGGAAAGGUGAAAGUCUUGGGUGCAAGCUCAGGAUCUAAGCCCCCGUGAAUGUCGGCCGUAACUAUAACGGUCCUAAGGUAGCGAAAUUCCUUGUCGGGUAAGUUCCGACC
RNAcentral lists this ribosomal RNA (1815 nucleotides) under marine metagenome. RNAcentral describes it as "bacterial LSU rRNA". It matches the Rfam family "Bacterial large subunit ribosomal RNA", at positions 152 to 1988 of the family's 2925-position model. The record is from RNAcentral.